RNAcentral lists this unclassified non-coding RNA (189 nucleotides) under rhizosphere metagenome. RNAcentral describes it as "partial ribosomal RNA internal transcribed spacer region". The record is from RNAcentral.
GAAUUAUAGGGCGUCUACUUGUAGAGCCUGACCUCCACUUCUAACACUGUGCACUUGAUGGCGAGGUAAUUGGGAUCUGGCCUUCGGGCUAUUGAUCAAGAACCUUGCGGCUUCAUUUUAAACAUUAGUCAAAGUAUGUAAUGAAAUUUAAAACAAAAAAAAACUUUCAACAACGGAUCUCUUGGCUCU